CCAGACAGCCAGGAUGUUGGCUUAGAAGCAGCCAUCAUUUAAAGAAAGCGUAAUAGCUCACUGGUCGAGUCGGCCUGCGCGGAAGAUGUAACGGGGCUAAACCAUGCACCGAAGCUGCGGCAGCGACACUCAGGUGUUGUUGGGUAGGGGAGCGUUCUGUAAGCCUGUGAAGGUGUGUCGUGAGGCAUGCUGGAGGUAUCAGAAGUGCGAAUGCUGACAUAAGUAACGAUAAAGCGGGUGAAAAGCCCGCUCGCCGGAAGACCAAGGGUUCCUGUCCAACGUUAAUCGGGGCAGGGUGAGUCGACCCCUAAGGC
This 314-nucleotide ribosomal RNA is filed under the name Salmonella enterica subsp. enterica serovar Thompson. RNAcentral describes it as "bacterial LSU rRNA". It matches the Rfam family "Bacterial large subunit ribosomal RNA", at positions 1085 to 1397 of the family's 2925-position model. RNAcentral also lists the same sequence under 2 other names. Lineage: Bacteria; Pseudomonadati; Pseudomonadota; Gammaproteobacteria; Enterobacterales; Enterobacteriaceae. The record is from RNAcentral.